This is a non-coding RNA of Oncorhynchus mykiss (rainbow trout), 1727 nucleotides long. Lineage: Eukaryota; Metazoa; Chordata; Actinopteri; Salmoniformes; Salmonidae. The record is from RefSeq and is a predicted model, not a curated record.
UUUUAUAUAGAGACAUUACAACAAAAACUGAAGGGGCACAAGUUUCAAAUGAGGGGGCUAAUCCUUUUGGCUAAUCGUGGAACAGGGCCAGCUACAGUAUAGUGUAUAUUUUUUAUUUGAACAAAUUAUUUCUCACUGAAAUGAAAUAUACGUUUCGAAAACCGGGUUGAACGCGAUUAUUAUUUACUUUUCUAAACGUUAAAACAAAGCGUCGAAUUUUUGUUUACAUUGAGACAAAUGCGGGUUUAACACCUGAAACCCUGAAAACCAACAUACAGAGAAGAGUUUUCGAGAGCUAACGUUAGCAUACUGUAGUUAUCAGCUGAUUUAGUAGUCACACCAUGAUUAACUGUAAAUGGCAAUAAGGACGACGACAGUCAUUAAAACCAAAUGUAUAUACCGUUACCUUAUAGGUUAUUGGACGAUUUUGACGAUUUAAAAAUGUAAAAUAUACAAAAAAUGCUCUAUCAAUUUUAGCUAGCUAUGAACAUUACCUUGGUUUGUUUCCGGAUGUGCGGAUGGGAUGUUGCGAAUCUUUGUUUCACUACGAACAAGUAAAUAGAGGGCACCGUAUCUCAAGACAUGACUGGAGAGAACUGUUUGGAGAACUGUACCUAGUCAAUGCACUUUGCUGUUUACAGUAUGCAACUUGCUACUAUGAGUUCAGAUUCGGUUAUAUUGUUGCAGACGGUGACAUUUUCUGCUGAAAACCACCAAGAUCAACGGAUUAAAGAGCCCAAAGAAACCAACUAUCCAAUAGGUGUGGACCAAAGACUCAAAAGAAAGGAAAACAAACACAAAACACAAAGGAGAGGACGAAAGAGGUGUCCGGUGGAUGGCUGUCAAGUCACCGUCAUUCACCUACCUCGUCACCUGCGGCAGGUCCAUGAGUGGGGCAGAGAGGAGGCCCAGUCUGCAGUCAACACAUUUGGUCUCGGAGCACCAAGCAGACAUGGUGACAGCAGCAGCAAGGCUAAAAACAACCAUCACUCCAGGCCUUGCCCCAUGACAGGCUGUCAUGAAUUUGUCAAAAGACUGCCAGCCCACCUGAGAAAGCAACACAAGCUUGAAAAUAACUCUCCUCUAUACAGAGAGCUUCUUACAGCAUCACAGAAGAGAAGGUCAAAUGUCAAUGAAUGAAUGUUAUGAUGUUUACUGUGAAUAAUUAUUCUAGCUGAUGUAUUGAAGUUGAAUGAGAAAUAUGUAAUUGAAUUGGGACAUGAUUGAACAAGACAAUAUUUGGGAAAGGAAUAAAGAAUGCGCUUGAACUGCCACACAGCAGGCCGACUCAGACAUCCUUUCUGAGGCUUGUAACAGAUACAGCAUAGAAAGACCAGCAUCAAUUCAUAUCCGAAGUGGUCACACUCAUUUACACACAGACCUUUUUUGUAGGAUGUAAACCUUAUGUAUGUCCAGUGGUGUAAAGUACUUUAGUAAAAAUACUUUAAAGUACUACUUAAGUCGUUUUUGGGGUAUCUGUACUUAACUUUAUUAUUUAUAUUUUUGAAGACUUUUACUCCAAUACAUUUCCCUGACACCCAAAAGUACUCGUUGAAUGCUUAGCAGGACAGGAAAAUUGUCUAAUUCACACACUUAUCAAGAGAACAUCCCUGGUCAUCCCUACUGCCUCUGAUCUGGCAGACUCACUAAACACAAAUGCUUAGUUUGUAAAUUAUGUCUGACUGUUGAAGUGUGCCUCUGGCUUUCCGUAUAAAAAAUAUAAAAAA